Molecule: ribosomal RNA, 503 nt
Filed under: uncultured bacterium
Lineage: Bacteria
Description: bacterial SSU rRNA
Rfam family: Bacterial small subunit ribosomal RNA
Source: RNAcentral
AGAGUUUGAUCCUGGCUCAGGACGAACGCUGGCGGCGUGCUUAACACAUGCAAGUCGAACGGUAAGGCUCUUUCGGGGGUACACGAGUGGCGAACGGGUGAGUAACACGUGGGUGACCUGCCCCCCACUUUGGGAUAAGCCUGGGAAACUGGGUCUAAUACCGGAUAUGACUCGCGGUUGCAUGAUUGCGGGUGGAAAGUUUUUUCGGUGGGGGAUGGGCCCGCGGCCUAUCAGCUUGUUGGUGGGGUGAUGGCCUACCAAGGCUUCGACGGGUAGCCGGCCUGAGAGGGCGUCCGGCCACACUGGGACUGAGACACGGCCCAGACUCCUACGGGAGGCAGCAGUGGGGAAUAUUGCGCAAUGGGCGGAAGCCUGACGCAGCGACGCCGCGUGGGGGAUGACGGCCUUCGGGUUGUAAACCUCUUUCGACCUCGACGAAGAAUGAUUGACGGUAGGGGUGGAAGAAGCACCGGCCAACUACGUGCCAGCAGCCGCGGUAAUAC